Long non-coding RNA from Oncorhynchus tshawytscha (Chinook salmon), 1683 nucleotides. The record is from Ensembl. Lineage: Eukaryota; Metazoa; Chordata; Actinopteri; Salmoniformes; Salmonidae.
GCUGUGAGAUGUUGGUCAACUGGCCCUUAUGCAGGUCAGAGAAACAUUAUGAGAUUGAUGCAGAUGGAUUAUACUACAACAUGACCGCUUUUCCAUACUAUACUGGAAGACCAAGGAUACUAUGGGAUGAAAUAUAAGAUCACAUUUGUAAAAAAGGUAAUUCAGAUGGAAUUUAUACCCAUUUGCUCAUUGAAGACAUACCUGACCCUGCUGAGAGACGGCCAGCUAAAAGCAGAACAGGAGAUGACAGGUGGGCAGCUGCCACCCAAUGGAGACUGAGUGUACUAGCUGAGGAAGAGACUGGAGGUCCUUACAGAGGAACUGAGAGAGAGACACAACUACACCUGCACUGUCUCCCACCUCAGUCUGGACAACAAGCUGGAUGUCAGCUGGGAGCCUGAUCCAGACAGAGACAGUCAGCCUACUCUCCCUUUCAGCUCCAGUGGUGAUUAGGCUGUUCUGUGUUUACAUUUGCGUCAGGAGGAGAAGUGCUGCUGGCUCAGGGACAUCACCACAGUAAAUGAACUAAUGUGUGUGUGUGUGUGGUGUGUUAAGACAGGGUGGGUAUGUGCUUGUGUACGUGCGUGUGUUUAGACAGGACACUCCAGGGACCCAGCCAGACCUGUGAGGGGCCUGGGUUAGGACCUGGUGACCGGAGGGGAGGCGGAGGCCAGAAACAGAGACAUUGGCUGUGUCCGAAUACCAAUACUUGCAUCCUAAAUAGUAGGCUGUUUGAGAAUCCGAAUAUUAAAUGUUUAAUCGUAUGUGAAUUUUCUAAAAAUGUUGUAUGCUGUAAAUGCCAGGAUGGUAUACUCAUUUCGGUUUUUCAUUUAGUAGAAUUUGCGCACACUUUACAGGAAUUUCACGGCCACAAUGCAUUGGAAGAGGGGAGCUAUGAGUUUUCAUAGCUAGAUCUCUUUAAGUAAACAACAAAACAACUUGGAAGAUGGCAAAUAGCUGAACUUCUGCAGGGGUGUUCAAAUGAUCUACGUGAAGGAUUCUGAGCUGGAGAGGCAGCUGUCACCAGAAUUGGUGAAAAAUGAGUGGGAGAACCUUAGGUUUAAGCAAAAAUACACUGCAGCUGUGGGCUCCUCUCCCUCCCAGAAGGGUCCAGAUGUAUAGGCAGGAGUAGGAGGUGACUGCCAGGAGGCACACUUUAUGGCCCUUUUAAAGGACAUGAUUAAGUAGUUUUAGGUAUUUUGUAUGUAUUUUAUUCAUAGCUAUUAAUUUAUAAAUGUUCUUGUCCUUUUUAAAACCCAUUGUGGAUUUAUGUUUUCUCAUUGAAAAGUGUUUCUUGUUUGUAAUAAACAUCUACUGAUGGUGGGUUUUGCUUUCAACAUUCAAAAAUGCACUCUCACAUCUGAGCUAUCUUGUUGCAGGUGCAUGGUAACAAUUGGAUAAGUUAAAGAUAAAGAAAGUAGCCAGAGCAGUGUGCCACUUUCUUUUAUCAAUCACCCGUCCUCUUGGCCUUCUGUCAUGUCUACUCCCGCUCCCCCUCGCCAGUGCUAGACAUCUCCGGUCUACUUACCACCGGUCCUGGAAACACACCUUUACACACACCUGUAUUUCCUCAUCAGUCACACUUGAACUUCAUUACUCCCUUGAUCGCAUACCCUUUGUAUAGCACACUUUUGUUAUAAGUCAUCAGGUAGUAUUGUUUGUGUUUUCCAUGUCAGAUGCUGC